Molecule: ribosomal RNA, 472 nt
Filed under: Veillonella parvula
Lineage: Bacteria; Bacillati; Bacillota; Negativicutes; Veillonellales; Veillonellaceae
Description: bacterial SSU rRNA
Rfam family: Bacterial small subunit ribosomal RNA
Source: RNAcentral
GACGAACGCUGGCGGCGUGCUUAACACAUGCAAGUCGAACGAAGAGCGAUGGAAGCUUGCUUCUAUCAAUCUUAGUGGCGAACGGGUGAGUAACGCGUAAUCAACCUGCCCUUCAGAGGGGGACAACAGUUGGAAACGACUGCUAAUACCGCAUACGAUCUAAUCUCGGCAUCGAGGAUAGAUGAAAGGUGGCCUCUACAUGUAAGCUAUCACUGAAGGAGGGGAUUGCGUCUGAUUAGCUAGUUGGAGGGGUAACGGCCCACCAAGGCGAUGAUCAGUAGCCGGUCUGAGAGGAUGAACGGCCACAUUGGGACUGAGACACGGCCCAGACUCCUACGGGAGGCAGCAGUGGGGAAUCUUCCGCAAUGGACGAAGGUCUGACGGAGCAACGCCGCGUGAGUGAUGACGGCCUUCGGGUUGUAAAGCUCUGUUAAUCGGGACGAAAGGCCUUCCUGCGAAUAGUGAGAAAGGA